Rhinopithecus bieti (black snub-nosed monkey) is the source of this 79-nucleotide microRNA precursor. The record is from Ensembl. Lineage: Eukaryota; Metazoa; Chordata; Mammalia; Primates; Cercopithecidae.
CUAUAUGCAGUGGACCAGGAUGGCAAGGGCUCUUGUGAAAGGGCAGUAGAGCCUUGCCAUCCUGGUCCACUGCAUAUAG